CAGCACCUCAAGUGGUCAGGAUGAUUAUUGGGCCUAAAGCAUCCGUAGCCGGCGCUGUAAGUUUUCGGUUAAAUCUGUACGCUCAACGUACAGGCUGCCGGGAAUACUGCAGCGCUAGGGAGUGGGAGAGGUAGAUGGUACUCGGUAGGAAGGGGUAAAAUCCUUUGAUCUAUUGAUGACCACCUGUGGCGAAGGCGGUCUACCAGAACACGUCCGACGGUGAGGGAUGAAAGCUGGGGGAGCAAACCGGAUUAGAUACCCGAGUAGUCC
This 270-nucleotide ribosomal RNA is filed under the name uncultured archaeon. RNAcentral's name for it is "partial 16S ribosomal RNA". It matches the Rfam family "Archaeal small subunit ribosomal RNA", at positions 477 to 747 of the family's 1478-position model. The record is from RNAcentral.